Molecule: long non-coding RNA, 3635 nt
Organism: Anolis carolinensis (green anole)
Lineage: Eukaryota; Metazoa; Chordata; Lepidosauria; Squamata; Anolidae
Exons: 3
Source: RefSeq, a predicted model, not a curated record
CCAUGCCUGAUUUAAAUAGAGCUUGGAAAAGCUGUCCAUGGCUUUCAAUGGAUAGUGAAUGAACUGUCCGAGGUGCUGAAGUCCUCCUCUCAAAAACAUGGAUCGCUUUUUUUAAAGUUCAGGCUUUGAAAGUCGUUCUUUUCCAAGGUUUCGUUUGUAAUUUUUUUAAUGGUCAAGAAAACUGUGAUGGUGCCGAAAGACUUCGCUUGAGACUGUAUCCAAAAUUUCGGAAUAAUUCAUCUGAGGCUAAAAGAAAUCACGCUGGAAGAGUUCCUUUCAGGCAACAAAAUGGCAGCCAAGCUAUUUUUGGGACUACAAAAUGGCAUCAAAGUUCUUUUUUUUUUUUUGAGGUGACAAAAUGGCAGCCGAGAGAGUUCUUUUGGGACUAGAAAAUGGUUUUCCUUGAGGUUACACAACUUUGCGUCAAGGUUCUUUUAAGGUGAUGAAAUGACUGCAAAGUUUUUUUUAAGGUUCAAAAUGGCGACAAAGAUCUUCUGAGGUCCAAAAUGGGACAGUCCUUUUGAGGCAACAAAAUGGUGGGAAAAUUCUAUUGAGUCAACAAAAUGGCGUCAAAGUUCUUUUGAGGCAGCAAAAUGGCGGGAAAGUUCUGCUGAGGCAACAAAAUGGUGUCAAAGUUCUAUUGAGGUGACAAAAUGGCAGCAGAGUUCUUUUGGGACUAGAAAAUUGUGUUCCUUGGGGUGGCAAAAUGGCGUCAAAGUAAUUUUGAGGGGACAAAAAAGCGUGAAAGUUCUUUGAAGGCAACAAAAUAGCAUCAAAAUUAUUUCAAGGUGACAAAAUGGAGGGCAAGUUCUAUUGAGGCGACAAAAUGGCGUCAAAGUUCUUUUUGAGGUGACAAAACGGCAGCAGAGUUCUUUUGGGACUAGAUAAUUGUGUUCCUUGGGGUGACAAAAUGGCGUCAAAGAUCUUUUUGAGGCAACAAAAUGGCGGGAAAGUUCUGCUGAGGUGACAAAAUGGCGUCAAAGAUCUUUUUGAGGCAACAAAAUGGCAGGAAAGUUCUGCUGAGGUGACAAAAUGGCAUCAAAGAUCUUUUUGAGGCAACAAAAUGGCGGGAAAGUUCUGCUGAGGUGACAAAAUGGCGUCAAAGAUCUUUUUGAGGCAACAAAAUGGCGGGAAAGUUCUGCUGAGGUGACAAAAUGGCAUCAAAGAUCUUUUUGAGGCAACAAAAUGGCGGGAAAGUUCUGCUGAGGUGACAAAAUGGCGUCAAAGAUCUUUUUGAGGCAACAAAAUGGCGGGAAAGUUCUGCUGAGGUGACAAAAUGGCGUCAAAGAUCUUUUUGAGGCAACAAAAUGGCGGGAAAGUUCUGCUGAGGUGACAAAAUGGCGUCAAAGAUCUUUUUGAGGCAACAAAAUGGCGGGAAAGUUCUGCUGAGGUGACAAAAUGGCGUCAAAGAUCUUUUUGAGGCAACAAAAUGGCGGGAAAGUUCUGCUGAGGUGACAAAAUGGCAUCAAAGAUCUUUUUGAGGCAACAAAAUGGCGGGAAAGUUCUGCUGAGGUGACAAAAUGGUGUCAAAGAUUUUUUUGAGGUGACAAAUUGGCAGCAGAGUUCUUUUGGGACUAGAAAAUGGUGUUUCUUGGGGUUACAAAAUGGCGUCAAAGUUGUUUUGAAGCUACAAAAUGGUGGGAAAGUUCUUUUGAGGCAACAAAAUGGCAGCAGAGUUCUUUUGGGACUAGAAAAUGGUGUUUCUUGGGGUUACAAAAUGGUGUCAAAGUUCUUUUGAAAUGACAAAAUGGCAGUAGAGUUCUUUUGAGGCGACAAAAUGGUGGGAAAGUUAAAUUGAGAUGGCAAAAUGGCAGCAGAAUUCUUUUGGAGCUGCAAAAUGGCGGCAAAUGUUUACAACUCACAGGAUUAUGUAGCAGUUAAAAUGGAACCAAAGUGUACCAAUUCGAUAGUGUAGAUGCACCCGGUAGGCUGUUAGGAAUUGUGGUUGUAGUCCAAAACACCCAAGUUUGCCCAUGCCUGGAAUAAAGUGUUCAGCAAGGAACAUAUUGGAAAAACCCUUGCGAGGCUGCUUGAUUUCUCUUCCAUUUCAUCUCAUCCUCAGAACCUCAUUCAUCUGCGCUAGUGACGGCAUGCACAGGACAUUAGAAGAGGGAACAAAUUUGCUCCAUUGUCUCUGCGAUGGCCCUUCAGAUAGUUGAAGAUGCUCAUCUGAUUGCCUCUUAAGCAUCGCCUCCCCAGGCCGAAUGCGUCUCAACAUUUCUCCAUAUCUUUUUUCCAACGAUUCGUCCUUGGAAGCCUGCAAAGAUAAAGAACAACCUGAGCUGACCUGCAUUGGAGCUGCUGCGAAGGCACAUCAAGCAAUAUAGAAGCAUAUGCUUCCAAUGCAACAAACAGACCGCACUCCCUUCUGCAGCUAAUGGAAAUAGCAAAAGGUGCGACCGUGAUGGGAGGCCGCUGGGGAGCAUCGCUUUGUGUGGGAUUCCCUAUAACCGCGGCCGGUGUUGCCUGGCAACGGAGUCAAAAGAUGAGGAUGCAAUUGGGAAACGUGCAAAAAAGUAAUUAAUAAAAAACAUACUGAGGAAAGAUACUGAGCUCCUCGGCUCCUACACCUGCACUUGCAUGCACUCAAAGAGAGAUUCCAUCUCAAUAUUAAGGAAGGACUUCCUGAUGGACAGAGGUUUUCAACAGUGGAAUAUGCUGCAGAGUGUCUCAGUUUCUGGAGGUUUUUUAAACAGCAAUUGGAGGGCCAUCUGUCAAGAGGGCUUUGAUUGUGAAGCUACGAAAAAUCCCAUUCAUAAGUUUCCAAGUAAUUUGGGACAGAGAGAGGGCUUUUUAUGAUUCCACAGAUGAAAAUACUUUCUAUUCAAUUGAGAGAAUGCCCCAGAUGCAGGUGAAACGUCAGGAGCAAAUGCUACUGAAAUAUGGCCAUAAGCCCAAAAACCCACAGCAACCAAGAGGAUUAUUGUGUUGUGUGCCUUCAACAAGUUUCAGACUUAAGGCAACUCUGAAUCUGAAGUUGAAAUUUAGGGUGAGGGCUGGGUAAAGGAACUUGGAGGGCCACAUCUGGCCUGCAGACCUUAGAUUGGGGACCCCUGGCCUACAAUAUUUUUCUACCUGAUCUAUCCAAUCUAUCAUCUACAGUAGCUAGUACCUAUUGUAGCUACGGUAUGUAUUUACAGUUUGUUGUUUUUGUUAUUAUUAUUAUAUCCCCAGUAUCUAUCUAUAAUAGUAUCUAUGUCUAUCCUCUUCCCUCUCUAAGCUCUCUCCCUUUGGACAAGAGUCUCACUAUGCAUACGACACUGACAAAUGUUGGCUUCUUUUGACAAACAUGUGCAAAGAAACCUUGACAUUUAAUUGAUAAGCUUUAAUGAAAAGAAGAACUGAUCUUUUGUAAAUGAUAGGAUAUUAAAAGGGAAAAACAGACUCGAGGUCUUCAUUCCCUCCCUGUGUCAAGAGUGCGUGGGUUGUGUAUUUCUGCAUGGAAAAAUAGUGUUGGGCUGGAUGGGCCCAAGUGUGUCUUCCAGCUCUAAGAUCAAACACAGAAAUGCAGAUGACGGUGUCUUUUAUUGGCUCAGAUUAUUCAUUGAGUCCAGUGUUUCCUGCUCCAAAGGUCUUGCACAAGGCAAGUUCCUUCUCCCUACUAAUACUCAGAUCUUUCAAAAUGGGAUGCUUUU